UACGGAGGGUGCAAGCGUUGCUCGGAAUUAUUGGGCGUAAAGGGCAAGUAGGUGGUCUCAUUUGUCUGGGGUGAAAGCCUUGAGCUUAACUCAAGAAGUGCCUCAGAAACGGUGAGACUCGAGUCCUGGAGAGGGUCGUGGAAUACCCGGUGUAGCGGUGAAAUGCGUAGAGAUCGGGUGGAACACCAGAGGCGAAGGCGGCGACCUGGACAGGCACUGACACUCAACUGCGAAAGCGUGGGGAGCAAACAGG
Molecule: ribosomal RNA, 253 nt
Filed under: uncultured bacterium
Lineage: Bacteria
Description: partial 16S ribosomal RNA
Rfam family: Bacterial small subunit ribosomal RNA
Source: RNAcentral